Molecule: small nucleolar RNA, 149 nt
Organism: Jaculus jaculus (lesser Egyptian jerboa)
Lineage: Eukaryota; Metazoa; Chordata; Mammalia; Rodentia; Dipodidae
Source: Ensembl
CCUCCUUUUCUUGGUGGGAAGCAGGGCUUGGGCUCUGCUCCCCAUUAUACACGGAGGCAGAGGGAAAGGGCUCCAGCCCUCCCACUGUCGUGUCUUCAGCGCCAGAGGUUCUGGUUCCACCAGUUCUAUCCUCAAAUGCCAGGACACUU